Molecule: ribosomal RNA, 665 nt
Filed under: uncultured Haplosporidia
Lineage: Eukaryota; Endomyxa; Ascetosporea; Haplosporida
Description: SSU rRNA
Rfam family: Eukaryotic small subunit ribosomal RNA
Source: RNAcentral
GGACUCGGGGGGAAAGUAUGCUCGCAAGAGUGAAAACUUAAAGGAAUUGACGGAAGGGCACCACCAGAUGUGGAGCCUGCGGCUUUAAUUCGAUUCAACACGGUAAAACUUACCAGGUCCAGACAUAGCAAGGAUUGACAGAUUGAAGUUCUUUCUUGAUUCUAUGUAUGGUGGUGCAUGGCCGUUCUUAGUUGGUGGAGUGAUUUGUCUGGUUAAUUCCGAUAACGAACGAGACCUCAGCCAUUUAACUAGCUAUAUCUAAUUCGUUAGUUGCACAUUGUGUGUUUAGCUUCUUAAAGGGACAAUCUGCUAUCGCAGAAGGAAGAUUGAGGCAAUAACAGGUCAGUGAUGCCCUUAGAUGCUCUGGGCUGCACGCGCGCUACAAUGAUAUAUUCAGAAGGUUUUUCCCAAUGCCGAAAGGCAAUAGGAAAUCUUUAAAAUGUGUCUCAGUUGGGAUAGAUGAUUGCAAUUAUUCAUCUUGAACAAGGAAUAUCUAGUAAACGCAAGUCAUCAACUUGCAUUGAUUACKUCCCUGCCCUUUGUACACACCGCCCGUCGCUCCUACCGAUUGGAUAAUCCGGUGAAAAGAGUGGAAAAUCUUUAUAUUAUUGAUUAAAAGCUCUUUAAACCUUAUUAUCUAGAAGGAAGAACAAGUCGUAACAAGG